UGGAGAGUUUGAUCCUGGCUCAGAACGAACGCUGGCGGCAGGCCUAACACAUGCAAGUCGAACGCUGUAGCAAUACAGAGUGGCAGACGGGUGAGUAACACGUGGGAAUAUACCCUUUGGUUCGGAAUAACUCAGGGAAACUUGAGCUAAUACCGGAUAAGCGCGAGAGCGGAAAGAUUUAUCGCCGAAGGAUUAGCCCGCGUCUGAUUAGCUAGUUGGUGAGGUAAUGGCUCACCAAGGCGACGAUCAGUAGCUGGUCUGAGAGGAUGAUCAGCCACAUUGGGACUGAGACACGGCCCAAACUCCUACGGGAGGCAGCAGUGGGGAAUAUUGGACAAUGGGCGCAAGCCUGAUCCAGCCAUGCCGCGUGAGUGAUGACGGCCUUAGGGUUGUAAAGCUCUUUUACCUGGGAAGAUAAUGACGGUACCAGGAGAAUAAGCCCCGGCUAACUUCGUGCCAGCAGCCGCGGUA
This 471-nucleotide ribosomal RNA is filed under the name proteobacterium JS172. Its description in RNAcentral is "bacterial SSU rRNA". It matches the Rfam family "Bacterial small subunit ribosomal RNA", at positions 1 to 522 of the family's 1533-position model. The record is from RNAcentral. Lineage: Bacteria; Pseudomonadati; Pseudomonadota.